This is a long non-coding RNA of Hemicordylus capensis (graceful crag lizard), 244 nucleotides long. RefSeq lists it as uncharacterized. The record is from RefSeq and is a predicted model, not a curated record. The transcript has 3 exons. NCBI's taxonomy places the organism in Eukaryota, Metazoa, Chordata, Lepidosauria, Squamata, Cordylidae.
CCCAAGCAAGCCAGGAAGGAGGCAGGCAGAGUUCCCUGCAGCAGACCCUCUGCCCAGACCAUCCAGCACAGCUUUUGCAAGUGCUAAGUGAGGGAUUUCAAAAUAGAUAUAUUAUUAAAGAAGCAAAGAAAUCUAACAUGCGGAACAAAGUUCCAAUGUGGUGGGGACUAGAGACAGGGCCUUUUCGGUUGUAGCCCCUCAGCUUUGGAACAUCCUCCCUGAAGAGCUUCAGCAUGCUCCCUCC